This 253-nucleotide ribosomal RNA is filed under the name uncultured bacterium. RNAcentral describes it as "partial 16S ribosomal RNA". It matches the Rfam family "Bacterial small subunit ribosomal RNA", at positions 524 to 776 of the family's 1533-position model. The record is from RNAcentral.
UACGUAGGGGGCAAGCGUUGUCCGGAUUUAUUGGGCGUAAAGAGCGUGUAGGCGGCCUGAAAGGUCAGCUGUGAAAACUCGAGGCUCAACCUCGAGACGUCGGUUGAAACCAUCUGGCUAGAGUCCGGAAGAGGAGAGUGGAAUUCCCGGUGUAGCGGUGAAAUGCGCAGAUAUCGGGAAGAACACCCGUGGCGAAGGCGGCUCACUGGCUCGUAACUGACGCUCAUGCACGACAGCGUGGGGAUCAAACAGG